This 31-nucleotide non-coding RNA is filed under the name Rattus norvegicus (Norway rat). The record is from RNAcentral. Lineage: Eukaryota; Metazoa; Chordata; Mammalia; Rodentia; Muridae.
UCAAAGGUCGAAUGUCCUGAUGCUGGUAACC